Molecule: ribosomal RNA, 356 nt
Filed under: uncultured Selenomonas sp.
Lineage: Bacteria; Bacillati; Bacillota; Negativicutes; Selenomonadales; Selenomonadaceae
Description: bacterial SSU rRNA
Rfam family: Bacterial small subunit ribosomal RNA
Source: RNAcentral
AGUAGUUUGAUCAGUGGCUCGAGGACGACGCUGGCGGCGUGCUUAACACAUGCAAGUCGAACGAGACGGAUUGAAAGCUUGCUUUUGAAAAGUCGAGUGGCAAACGGGUGAGUAACGCGUAGGCAACCUGCCGCAAAGAUGGGGACAACAGUCCGAAAGGACUGCUAAUACCGAAUGUUGUGCGACCUCCGCAUGGAGGAUGCAUUAAAGAUGGCCUCUACUUGUAAGCUAUCGCUUUGCGAUGGGUCUGCGUCUGAUUAGCUAGUUGGUGGGGUAACGGCCUACCAAGGCGACGAUCAGUAGCCGGUCUGAGAGGAUGAACGGCCACAUUGGAACUGAGACACGGUCCAGACUCC